CUCUGAUGGAAAUCAAAUAGGGAGAGAAAGCCACAAGCCACUAUGAAAUACCACAGUAAAUCAGCUUUAGAAAAACAACAAAAACUAUUUUAGAAGUUUCUUCUUUUUAUGUACACAUUUAUAUAUUUAUACACUGUACAGAUUAAAAAAUAAAAUAAAAAUGGUUGAAAUAUAAGAUUGUGCACCCCACAGAUGUGUGACUAAAGAGAGAACAGAAGAGAGCAAGAAAUGGGACAAAGGGAUGUCAAGGACAUACAGAUAUCAACAUCCCCAAUUAACACUGAUGAGUUUUUACAUACACAAUUUUCAUUUAUCCUUUAUACAAUUUCACAAAAUCCUGGCCUAUUUUGGCCAAUCCUCCUCGUAUCUCCACCAAUAUCUGUGUAGAGAGCCCUAAUCAGACAUUUAGGGUGAUUUCAAUCUGAGUGACCACUGAUCAGUUUUCAGAUUUAUUUAGAUCUGUGUUUUGAAUUGUUACUGGGCUUUUCUAGAGCCAAGGAAGGACUCUACUAAGAAUCCCAGCUCAAUGCCUCAGAGGCAAAUGGACCAUACCGGGCUUCCUAUUUUAUUUUCAGACAAAUAAUUCAUUUUCACCUGAAUCGUGCCAUUUUAUCUGUUUCCUAUUCUGGCUGAUCUUUUCAAUUUAAUGCUGCAUCAGAUGCAUAAUGAUGUAUCGUUUGCGUGUGUGCUCAGUAUGAGGCAGGGAGGUGACUGUUCCCAGUUAUUUUAGAAACAGGUAGGUGCUCUGCUAUGUUCUGCUCUGCCUGGAGAGAUGGCAGUGAUGCAAAUGAGGUGAUGAUCAUUGUCUGUCUCACCUUUUCUCUGUGACACUUGGGGAGUGAGAGCAUAUGGAGGAGAGAGGGGAGGGGUGUUGUUUAAGAGCACCUUGUGCCAAAAAGCAUGUGUGUCACAGUGGGGUUUUGAAGUACGUCAGCACUGACGUAUGGAGACCUCGCCUGUCUUAGUCUCUGUGUGUUGGGCCAGACCUAGAGGGGAGGGACGUGUUGAGCCAGACCUGGAGCGGAGGGACGUGUUGGGCCAGACCUAGAGCGGAGGGACAGUGUGUUGGGCCAGACGUAGAGGGGAGGGACAGUGUGUUGGGCCAGACGUAGAGUGGAGGGACAGUGUGUUGGGCCAGACGUAGAGCGGAGGGACAGUGUGUUGGGCCAGACCUAGAGCGGAGGGAGAGUGUGUUGGGCCAGACCUAGAGCGGAGGGACAUGUUGGGCCAGACCUAGAGCGGAGGGACAGUGUGUUGGGCCAGACCUAGAGCGGAGGGACAGCGUGUUGGGCCAGACCUAGAGCGGAGGGACAGCGUGUUGGGCCAGACCUAGAGUGGAGGGACAGUGUGUUGGGCCAGACCUAGG
Oncorhynchus tshawytscha (Chinook salmon) is the source of this 1366-nucleotide long non-coding RNA. The record is from Ensembl. Lineage: Eukaryota; Metazoa; Chordata; Actinopteri; Salmoniformes; Salmonidae.